UGGUGAUGCAACUUCUAUGUUCCAGUUUCCAUUACAAAGGAGAAAGAAGAACAUACCAAAGUUGGUUCAUCUAGCAAACUGACAACAACAUCUAAGAAAUGUUUUGCAACAAUAGAACUUAAUGGAAGUUAUACACGUGGCCAAAUGGUAAUUGACCAUGAUAACAAACUGAAAAGGAAUUCCAAUGUUUUAAUCAUGACCGCUGUAGAUAAAGAGCUGUAUCGACGGUACCUUCGCAUGGCCUUUGGUGGAGAAUUUUAAACUAGGGUGAGAGAUUCUAUAAAGAUGUGCCAAUUUCAUGACUUUACUUUGAUUAUAUAUAUUGGUUGUAUCAUCAGAAGAGUGUAGUCUGCCUCUAAGACUCAGUUUAUUUUAUCCUUUCGUACUGUAUUUGUGUUUCAUUUCAUAUACUUCAACAGAUGUGCAUUCUCUUCCAAAAACAAUGAAAGCUUUUUAAAUCUUAAAUUAAUUUUUAUUUGUCACUGGCUAGUUUUGCUUUAUUUUUCUGUCAAUGAUAUUUACUAAUUAUGUGAUCCAUUAUUCAUUUUGAUCAAAUCAUUCAUGUAAAACUUUCUUUUAAGAAAUGUUUUGUUAAGUUUGAUUUUCUUGCAUUAAUUUGUAUGUACUUUACAUUCCUGUAUGUGACCCAGAAUGAAUGUUGAAUUUCAGGUAAGCAAACAUUCAGAAAUAAGAUAAAUGUGUUAAUACUUUACAAAUAUAUUUUUAUGCUGUUCCUCU
Penaeus monodon (black tiger shrimp) is the source of this 738-nucleotide long non-coding RNA. RefSeq lists it as uncharacterized. The record is from RefSeq and is a predicted model, not a curated record. Lineage: Eukaryota; Metazoa; Arthropoda; Malacostraca; Decapoda; Penaeidae. The transcript has 2 exons.